GUUGGCUGGAGGGUGAUGUAGAACUGCGAGCCGUUGCUGUGGCGGCCCUUGUUGGCCAUCCCGAGGACCCCUCUUCCCUUGUGACGGAUGGAGAAGCUUUCAUCUAGGGAAAUAGUUCAGGAAUGAAAGGCCACAGUUGCGUUGCUCCCUUUGCUGCUAUUCACUGUACAGCUCCCUUUUGCCAGCUCCCGCCAGCUCCCCUCUCCUUCGUCCCUGCUCUCCCUUCUCCUUUUCCCCCAAAGGUCUCAUGCGAGCCAAGUCUGGUUUGAAUCGAUGUCCUUCCUAGACAGAGCUCCCCACUACUGCCUGGUGCUUAAGCCAGUGAAGAAGCUAAUGAAAAACAGCCAUGAAAAAGCACUCAAGGUAUUUCUGAAUGUCAGAGCCACAGCAACGAUGCCUCCGGCUCCCUGUGGAGGAGCUCGGGUCAUUUAGCGUGGCAUUUCCCCGCAGCUGCUUGGGAUUAUUCCCACAGUAGGGAUGAGGAGGGUGGGAGGCAGAGCGGAUGCUCCAAGCACAGCCUCUGCUCUCCCUCCCCUCAUGCUGCUGCCUGCGGUGAAGGGGACAAGAUCCCAGGCGAGCGCAGGCAGGGCUGUGAGGGCAGGACAUGCCUGGCUGGGGCGGGAUGCCCGAUGCGCCCUGCGUUCGGCAACUGGCGCGGGAGAGCGAGCAGGAGCCUUCUUUAGCCGAAGAAAAUGACAGAGCUGAAUAAACGGAGAGCAGGUAUCUAGUUAGUCAAGGAGGCCGGGGUGCUCCCAGAGUGGAAGCUUUGUUCCAGGGAGAGGAGAGGAGGCAGGCGAUGGGAGAUGCAAGGCAAGAGCAAGUGAGAGCCCCGGGAAGGUGAACAGGAUGCUCCGUGCCAGCUGAGGAAGCGCUGGUGGGGGAGAAAAGAAUCAGCUCUCAAGAGGGAUGACUGGGGAAGAAUAGACAUAAAGUGUGCUUGACUUUGGGGGAUGAUGGCAAGGACUUGAUUCCUGCUCCUCCGUGGAGGGGAGCCUGGGCACGAGGUGGGGAGCAGGGGGCGCGCUGAUCCUGGCCCCCUCCGUCGCUCGUCUCUGACCUGAUCACACUGAGCAGUCGAGAGCUCCAUCGAGUGUUCAACGAGCUUGAAGGGAACCAUAGAAAUGUUUGGAUUUUAUUGUUCUCUGAUUUUUUUAAAAAUCUUUACCCUGUUUAAGUGCCCUUUCUCGGAAACUGAUUAAAAAAUGGUAAUUAAAUUUUAACUGAACAGUUACUCCCUGACCGCUGCCUUGCGGUUUACAAAGUGACUUCAGCAGACUAAUUUUGGAGUAGGAUGCUUUGUUCUAUGACACGGCGCUCCAGUCCGAGUGAUUCUCUGUAAUUACUUCAGUCCUUUCAGCUCAUUACAGUAAAAUGCAGUUGCGUCCCAUUAAUUUCAGCAGGCGGUGCAGUGCCCGGACAUGUGCCAAGCGCAGCGUCUCCCAGAACAUUACUGGCUGACAGAGGCAUCUCUCACCCUUUUCAGAUAUCGAAGACAUUUGUCCUCUGCCCUCAGUGUAAAACAGUUUGGCGGGAAGUACUGGGAAAGCAAUCUAAGCCUUAAAAUAGAAAGGCAUACCCAAGGGAACACCUUUCUCAAGGAUGAAAAGUAACUUCUAAUUAAAAAAGGGGAGGGGAAGAAUUAGCAAUCCUCUCCUUUAAUACAUCAACACGUGGAGUACAUGCAAUAUGAGUAAUAAAACUCUUCCAGGGACACUUUCAAGGUUGGCAGACUCCAAAUUAAAUCCACCUUAAAAUUACUUAAGCAAUUUUUGAUGCAUUGUCACCUUCCCACAUGAGAUGGCAGCUUCUUUCCUGGGUAGCACAGACAAAGCACGAGCUUUGCCUGGAGGAGGAGGAUGCAACCAGAAGCAAAAUGCUGCGUGCUGGGCUAGGGGCUUCGUGCUGCCGCCCGGGCAGUGCGCGUGAGGCCGUAGCUUUCCUGUAUGCAGAGGUGCCUACGCCUGCUCAGACUCAUUUUCCUCUGUGGAUGGUUUCUACCCGAACAGCCCUGGCAGCGGAUACGCUGAAAGAAAGUGCGAAGGGUGCGAGAUGUGCACUAGCACAAAUCAAUUGGGUAGCAUUGCUGGAAAAGAGGAUUCACAAACUUAAAUCCUCGGUGAUGUCCGCCUUGCAAACAAUUUGACAGCCCUAUUUUUUCCAAUACCAGCUUAAAUUGCUUCCGAGAUCUGUGUGUCCUGAGAGUUGAGGCUUACUGCUAUUUCAGGAGCUCCAGCAUCAAAGCAGCAACUUUUGCUCCUUCCCACCCACUCUAGGCAGGGUGUAGCAUUUACUGCCUUAAAUCCCGCACGCCGGGCUCCCACCUCCAGCAGCUUUCCUGCCCGCCAGCGCUGCGACUCGGCCGGGCAGAGCCGGCUGGCGACCCGCCGCCUCCGGACGGGUUUUGCUCCAUCCGUCCCAGGGCCUGAAGGUGAAAGCUUCUCCUCGUGAGUGGGCUCUUCAACAUCUUGGGAAAGAAAGUUUUCAGCUACAGUUGGCAUUUCUGAUCUCACUGUUGGCUGCUGCCCAGCCUGCUCAAAUGUCACCUCGUUUGCGCCAUUGGCAAUGGGAAUGCUUUUAUAUAAGGAACAUAAAUCAGUUUCAAAAGUGCUUUAACUGUCAUAAAAUGUCUUUAUGGGUAGGAUUUAAUCUAAAUAGAAGAUCUCAAACGUCUAUGUCAAUUAUAUAGGUUGUUUUUCUUAAAUAUUGCAUGUUAUAAUGUUCUUUUUUCUUUACAUUUUAGUACUUUAUAUCAGUAUGGGGGAACAUUUUUUGUUAAACUUAGCUUGCGUUUGUCAUUUCUUGACUUGCACGGUUUUAUGUGAGCUGUUGAGAAGUAACUCCCCUUACACCCGCAGAGUCACGUAGCCGCUGGCAGCGAUGCCUGCGGUGUGCCCAAGCCUGAAAAGCUGCCCGAGGUCCAGGAAAUCUAGAGUUAAAGCCAACUUAUUUCCAUUGCUUUAAAUGCAUUUAAACAAGUGCUGUCGGGUGCCUGGAAAUCUGUAGCUAAUCCACCUCUGUGUUUCUAAGGUCCUGUUCACAAGGUGAGUAUUUGCAGUUUGAAGUGGGCAAGCGGGUGAGCAUCAGCCCUCAUUUAGACAGGGGGAAGGGGCUGGUGGAGCUGGGCCUCAGGCAAGGGAUGUCAGAGGAGGAGGAGGUUACAGAUCAAAAAAUGACCUCGCUAAAGCAGUCUGCACAGGCUAAUACAAGCGGAUAAUAAUUCUCACUGAAAAGUCUUUUGCUUUAGGGAGAUGAAAGGAAAUUCCCAGGUUAUUCUGUGAAUGAGAUCAGGUAAAUAACUUGAUUUUUGCAGAAAUUUGCCAUUUCAUAGAAUCGUAGAAUGGUUUGGGUUGGAAGGCACCUCAAAGACCAUCUAGUUCCAACCCUCCUGCCAUGGGCAGGGACACCCUCCACUAGACCAGGUUGCCCAAAGCCCCAUCCAACCUGGCCUUGAACACUUUAUUUGCACAGUAAGAUAGCUGAGGAACCAUACCUUCAAAGGUGGGACCAUAAAUUGACUCUCCGCUGUCUCCUUUUCCAGUUAUGAUGUCUGCAGGGUAGAUAAAGGUAACCAUCAGAGACCAGGUUUAUCACAGGGCUGUCAGUGAGCAGCUCUGCCGAGGUCAGAGACGUGAGUUGCACAUCAGCCUGAGGGAACAACUGCAUCCAUCUUUCUGCUUUACUACCAAAAUUUUAUCAGACCUUUGGGAAGAGCUCUGCUUCCAUCCCAAGAGGUGGUCUCUCUACGGAGAACUAUUCACAUGGUGCAUUUAAUCGCUGCCCCUCUGAGAAGGUCCAGCAUCUCCUGCUGGGAGGGCUCCUGCGGUGGCAGCGCCCAGCCGAGGACGGGGCGCCCUGGAGAAGGACGUCUGUCAGAAGUAGUAGAGUUGGAAGAAGGAAGGAUGAAAAUGCAGCUGUGUAUUAUGGUGAGUUAAGACCACUAACUUGUCUAAGAAAAGAGGUUUGAUAAGAGAGAAAUUCCUAUUGAACCAGAUUUCUCAUAAGUGAGGCACUAAAGGAACUUGAUGCAUCUUUUUUUAAAAUUUUUUAAAAAGAAGUCUGGUAUUGUUACUUUAUUUAGACAUUGUAUUACACCAUCAGGUUAUGGCUAGUCCUCUGCAGUAGCAAGUUUGUAAUUUUAGGUUGCUGUUAUGGACUGCAUAGGUACCUGCACAGUUAUUCAUGAAAAGUAAGAAGUGUACCUUCAAAGUAUAAACUUGAAAUGUAUUUACACACUGACAUUUGGAGCAAGGCAAAGACAGGUGAGAAACACAGGUAGGUAAGAUAUAUGCCAGACCAAAGGGAAGUAACAAAAUGCCUAACGAUCUUGACUUCCCUGGGGAUGUCAGCUGGACAAGCUGUGUGACCCAUCGUUCGUGCUGCAUUUCUCCUGGGUGCCACGAUCCAGGCACAGCGCUGGCACUCAGACAGCUCACCAGCACGUUUGGAAAGGGCUCUGACGCUUGGCUAAAUGCCUCCGUAAAUUAAUCUCUCUAGAAAACAAUAUGUUUUCCUAUGGAUAUUCUUAGUGUUUUCGUGUUUCCAAUUAGUUUCCUAAUUACUUACCAAAGAACUUCAUGGAAAAGAGUUUUCAAUUAGUUUCCUACAUUCUUUUGACAAGGUCUUCCAUAAUCAAAAUAAAUUAUCCAAACUUUUCCUAUGUUUAGAAAGUGAGAUGGCCAAAAGAGAAAAUACUUUCUGGGUGUUAUAUAUAUAUAUAUCUAUAGAUACGUAUUAAUUAAGAGCUUGUCCUGCAGAGAUUAGCUUUGUCCUGGAGUUCAGUUACAUCUCUGCAGAUGAAGACUGUUAUUCAUGCAUAUCAUCCCACCCCCCCAACCCCCCACCUUCUGCUGUAACUCAGAUUUGCUCGGCACACCUGGAAACCCACCUCCUCCUUGGAUCCACCCGUUUUUCACCAGGCGAUGAAAAAGGGAGUUUUUGUAGGUGAGCUCUCGGCCGUCGCAGAGAGACUUUGCUCCUCCGGCGCACAGGGCACGGAAAUUCUCACAGGUCCUGGGACACGCGUCCGAAAAGAGCUGCAAAAUUAAAACGAGAGAGGAAAACACGUGUGAAAUUCACAGCUGACGUCCACCGGCCAGAUUUCUGUCCCUGCUCCUUCGACAGGUGAAACCACCGCGCUGGGUGUGCUUGUUCCUGGCUUUUGCUUUUCUCCUCUGUAACGUACCUCAAACAGCAGCCUCCCGACGGGCUGUUCCUCAAUGGCUAUCUCCAGGUACACAAACACGUGCUGUUUAAAGCAGAAAAACAGACACAGUGAGGGAAAGGCCCGCUCUCCGUGCUGCACUCGCCUCCUAACGCAGGCCGGGGUCCAGCUGCCCGGCGCAAAUGGUCUCAGAAAAUCUCCGUGGGGUUGUCAAUGUACAACAGCAUUCCUACUGUUUUGUUUAAAUAAACAACAAAAGUAGAGGAUGUUUCACUUCAUUCUGGACAGAAAUAAUCCUAACCGUGCAUUAAAGUGAACUACUGGGCAGGGCUCGCUACUUCAUCUUGCAUUUAUUUACGUGCCUAUUGCAGCCCAUACGAUACAGGCAGGAAUAAAUGAAUCUGCAGGAAUACCGGCCAUCCUGCUAAAACGGACAUUUCUCACUCUUCCAGCCAGACUCAAAUCUGUGUGUAAUUGGUGCUGCGUCUUCUGUGGUAUUCAUUUUGGUGUUUGCUGUAGAAAUCCUCAGCAAUCGCUUGGUAAAGUGCCUCGGGCUUGAAGUCGCGAUAGUCCCACUCAUGGCGGGCCCACUUGAGCAGCUCCUCCUGGUCCCCCAGCAGCCGGCCAUCCACGAAGCACAUCACCGAGGCGGCGUACGCCCACACCUCGCCUCUCAGCUCCUGAGUGUCAGAGGGACCACAAAGCCUCCAGGGAUGAAUUACACACUCAGUGAAGAAGCAGUCAGUAAUAUCCACCCCGGGUAAGGUGGCCUGUGGUGUUUUUAUGCCUUUCCUACUUUUAAAACCACAAAUCCCGCCAACUGGAAGGGAUUGGGCAGCAGCUUUCGGUGAGGUGUGCUGACGCUGCACGCAGUUACGUGCCCCAGAGGUCGGGACCCCACUGCUACGGGACGUUAUCGUGACAAGAGUCAGCUGGGUGCCACUUUGGGGGCAGCUCAGACUGAACAGACCCCUCGAGGGUCUCUGAGGACAUUCAGUGACUUGGGGUGGAAAAGCUCACUUCUGAAACCUGCGGAUGGCACCGAGCUGGGAGAGGCUGCAGCCCGGAGGAGAGGACUUGUGUCCAAAACAACCUGAGGAAACAAGAGUUACCUUCUUUUUCUCCUGUAAAUAUUCAUGCCAUGCAAAUUCUACUAAAGGCUGUAUUACAGGAUCUGCAAACUUGCUUGGAAACUUCAGCUUCAGAGCCUAGAUUUUCAAGAGCUGCGUUAAAGGACUUGUCAUAAGCUGCCGAGCAAAGCGAGCUGAGCUGCGAUGUGCCUGACAUAGAGCAUUGCACAGCUGUAGCUUUUCGUGGAGGUGCAGGAACAAGAAGGAACAAAAACCAGAUUAGAGGGAAGUGUGUGGCAGAGCAGAGGACUGAAGCCAGCUCUUUCCAGAGCUCAUGACGGAUGCUGUCACUACGGGAUGGUUAGCUUGUUGCUAACGGUGGCUAAUAGCAGAUGCCCAGCAAAAAGGGGCAAGAAUAAGCAAACACGACAGCAGUGCUUCCCUGUUACUCUCCUGGACUCUGGUGAGCCUCUGCUCAAGGAUUGCCUGCUAUCUUUGUGUUUAAUUCCCCUUAGUGGCUCUUUUUCAUGUGAAUUUCUUUGCUUUGCAGACAAACAUAAAAGUCCAUCCCCAACAAAAUCCCGUGGCAACGAGAUUUACACCUUAAUUACACCCUGUGUAGAGUGUGCAUCUCCUUUUGAUGCGGAGACUCCUACCCGCAGCUGUGUUCACUGGGUGCUGCUGAGCCAUCGUUCCCACCGGCAGCCUGGGCAGAGCGGUACGGCACAUGGACGGAGCGGUUCCAGAGGGGUCACGGCUCCGGCAGCAAAGCUUUGUGCCAGCACCGCAGCUUUGCGCCCUUCCGGCUAAAGCAACAUGCGCAAAAGCAGUUUUGUGGGACAGCUGUAGGUUCAGCACGGCUGGGUCAGGUCACUUUUCAUCUCUGAGCAAGGUGAAUUUUAGGAGACAUCGGUGUUGGAAGUGACCAGGCUGAAUCGUAUGUCACGUCAAAAAUUUGCAUAAUCUUUCCUGAGACAUCAUGGAGCAAUGGAACAGUUGUCACAUCCCAGGAAAAACAGGUCUUUAACAUGCCAAAAUCCUAUCGCAGAUGAGAUAGUUGUGAUUUUCCUGUGGAAAAUAUGUUCUGCAG
Grus americana (Whooping crane) is the source of this 7321-nucleotide long non-coding RNA. RefSeq lists it as uncharacterized. The record is from RefSeq and is a predicted model, not a curated record. The transcript has 4 exons. NCBI's taxonomy places the organism in Eukaryota, Metazoa, Chordata, Aves, Gruiformes, Gruidae.